Molecule: ribosomal RNA, 448 nt
Filed under: Cladosporium cladosporioides
Lineage: Eukaryota; Fungi; Ascomycota; Dothideomycetes; Cladosporiales; Cladosporiaceae
Description: eukaryotic LSU rRNA
Rfam family: 5.8S ribosomal RNA (bases 99-252)
Source: RNAcentral
GCCUCCGGGGCGACCCUGCCUUCGGGCGGGGGCUCCGGGUGGACACUUCAAACUCUUGCGUAACUUUGCAGUCUGAGUAAACUUAAUUAAUAAAUUAAAACUUUUAACAACGGAUCUCUUGGUUCUGGCAUCGAUGAAGAACGCAGCGAAAUGCGAUAAGUAAUGUGAAUUGCAGAAUUCAGUGAAUCAUCGAAUCUUUGAACGCACAUUGCGCCCCCUGGUAUUCCGGGGGGCAUGCCUGUUCGAGCGUCAUUUCACCACUCAAGCCUCGCUUGGUAUUGGGCAACGCGGUCCGCCGCGUGCCUCAAAUCGUCCGGCUGGGUCUUCUGUCCCCUAAGCGUUGUGGAAACUAUUCGCUAAAGGGUGUUCGGGAGGCUACGCCGUAAAACAACCCCAUUUCUAAGGUUGACCUCGGAUCAGGUAGGGAUACCCGCUGAACUUAAGCAUA